AAUGAACGCUGGCGGCAGGCCUAACACAUGCAAGUCGAACGAAGCCUUCGGGCUUAGUGGCGGACGGGUGAGUAACGCGUGGGAACAUACCCUUUGGUACGGAAUAGCCUCGGGAAACUGGGAGUAAUACCGUAUGUGCCCUUCGGGGGAAAGAUUUAUCGCCAAAGGAUUGGCCCGCGUUGGAUUAGGUAGUUGGUGGGGUAAUGGCCUACCAAGCCGACGAUCCAUAGCUGGUUUGAGAGGAUGAUCAGCCACACUGGGACUGAGACACGGCCCAGACUCCUACGGGAGGCAGCAGUGGGGAAUCUUAGACAAUGGGCGCAAGCCUGAUCUAGCCAUGCCGCGUGAUCGAUGAAGGCCUUAGGGUUGUAAAGAUCUUUCAGAUGGGAAGAUAAUGACGGUACCAUCAGAAGAAGCCCCGGCUAACUCCGUGCCAGCAGCCGCG
This 445-nucleotide ribosomal RNA is filed under the name uncultured bacterium. RNAcentral describes it as "bacterial SSU rRNA". It matches the Rfam family "Bacterial small subunit ribosomal RNA", at positions 29 to 519 of the family's 1533-position model. The record is from RNAcentral.